Molecule: ribosomal RNA, 462 nt
Filed under: uncultured bacterium
Lineage: Bacteria
Description: bacterial SSU rRNA
Rfam family: Bacterial small subunit ribosomal RNA
Source: RNAcentral
CCUACGGGAGGCAGCAGUGGGGAAUUUUGGACAAUGGGGGAAACCCUGAUCCAGCAAUGCCGCGUGAGUGAAGAAGGCCUUCGGGUUGUAAAGCUCUUUUGUCAGGGAAGAAACACCGGCUCUAACACAGUCCGGGAAUGACGGUACCUGAAGAAUAAGCACCGGCUAACUACGUGCCAGCAGCCGCGGUAAUACGUAGGGUGCGAGCGUUAAUCGGAAUUACUGGGCGUAAAGCGUGCGCAGGCGGUUAUACAAGACAGGCGUGAAAUCCCCGGGCUUAACCUGGGAAUGGCGCCUGUGACUGUAUAGCUAGAGUGUGUCAGAGGGGGGUAGAAUUCCACGUGUAGCAGUGAAAUGCGUAGAUAUGUGGAGGAAUACCAAUGGCGAAGGCAGCCCCCUGGGAUAACACUGACGCUCAUGCACGAAAGCGUGGGGAGCAAACAGGAUUAGAUACCCUGGUAG